RNAcentral lists this transfer RNA (73 nucleotides) under Mesocricetus auratus (golden hamster). It matches the Rfam family "tRNA". From Rfam's summary of the family: Transfer RNA (tRNA) molecules are approximately 80 nucleotides in length. The record is from Rfam by way of RNAcentral. Lineage: Eukaryota; Metazoa; Chordata; Mammalia; Rodentia; Cricetidae.
AGAGAUGUAGCUCAGUUGUUAGGGUUCUUGCCUAGCAUGCACAAGGCUCUGGGUUCAAUUCCCAGCACCACAU